Molecule: ribosomal RNA, 400 nt
Filed under: uncultured bacterium
Lineage: Bacteria
Description: bacterial SSU rRNA
Rfam family: Bacterial small subunit ribosomal RNA
Source: RNAcentral
UAACGAAUCUUCCGCAAUGGGCGCAAGCCUGACGGAGCAAUGCCGCGUGUGGGAUGAAGCGUCUCUGACGUGUAAACCACUGUCAGGGGUUGGAACCAAUGAUCGACCCCAGAGGAAGUGGCGACUAACUCUGUGCCAGCAGUCGCGGUAAUACAGAGGCCACAAGCGUUAGUCGGAAUCACUGGGCUUAAAGGGUGCGUAGGUGGGCCUGAAAGUGUUCUGUGAAAGCCCUCAGCUCAACUGAGGAACAGCAGGGCAUACUACAGGCCUCGAGGCAAGUAUGGGUGGGCAGAACAGUAGGUGGAGCGGUGAAAUGCGUAGAUAUCUACUGGAAUGCCGAUGGUGAAGACGGCCCACUGGGCUUGUCCUGACACUGAGGCACGAAAGCGUGGGGAGCAAA